GGAGAACACCUGGGCUCGCGGCUCAUCACACAGCUCAUCACACAGACGAGGGGAACCCUCUCCCUCGGGAUCACUGGGGCAGGCGCUGUGCCUCUGAGCUACAUCCCCGGCCCUUCUCUUGGACUUUCAAACGAGUUGUUUAUGAAUUUUGAACUGGGCUGGAAUCCUGAAUGUGCUGCUACAUAGCUGAGUGAAUCCGAGAGAUUUCUUUCUCUGAGCCUCAGCUGACUCAUCUGCAAAACGUGGACAGUAGUAACACCAGCCCUCUGGGUGGUCGUCACUCGGUGAAAAUGAUAGGAGGUGACACAGGUGAAGCACUUAGGACCCGGUAGUUGGCAAACAGUUGAUCCAUUUUGGGGGUGAGAAUAAUAUUCUGAGAACAUCUUCUAUUUGCAAAGUACAGACUGAGGAGACGCCCUGGGCCACCCCUCCCAUCUUCGGCAAGAGGGGCGAGGAGCCCCCGCUCCGUGGGGCCAGCUGUCAGGAGGGCGUGGGAGCGGGACGCGCUCCCUCCGGGACUCCGCCUGGCUGCCUGCUGGUCCUGGCCGGCGCAGGGCCUGGUGUUUGCAGGCUGCCCCACCACACCCGGCCCUCGCCCCCGGAUGAUAUGGGACCUCCAAGAAGAAGCGUCCAUCGCCACCGCGGGCCUCCAGCACCACCUGCAGCAGCAACCGGCCAGAGCGCUCACUGGGAGGAGCCGCAGGCCAGGAGGUGGACACUCCCCGGGGCUCAUCUGGCGGGGUGACUCCUCCUGGGCCUGGAGAUGCGGUAGGGGACAGGGACAGGGUGAGGAAGGAGGGCCGGCAGGAGGUGAAAGGGUUGGUGCCCCACCUCCGGCUGGAAUGCUCUGUUGGGGUGGAGCCUGGGCUGCGGGUGAGGCUCCCUCUCCGUCCCCCUGGUCCCACCCCUCUGGUGGAUGACCUGACCGCUCCCCACUCAGGAGCUGCCCUCCUCCUCACCGCCGCGUCUGGAGGGAGGGGACAGGAAGGGCACUAAACAGAAUGAAGACGUGUUAUGUACGUGUGCCAGCUCCCCAUGAUGAACAUGAUCACUGUGUACUGCAAACAUGGACUAUAAACAUUAAAACAAAAACGCGACUGCUGGUCUCACGUCUAUGCAGGAUCCUGCUGUGGCUCCCCACUGCCCUUGCGGGGGAAGCCCGGUAUCUUAGCCCAUUUGGGCUUCUAUACCCAGAGGUGGUUUACAAGCACAGAAAUGUAUCUCCUCACAGUUCUAGAGGCCGAGAAAGCCAAGAUUAGGGCGCAGGCACAUUCCAUG
Molecule: long non-coding RNA, 1278 nt
Organism: Chinchilla lanigera (long-tailed chinchilla)
Lineage: Eukaryota; Metazoa; Chordata; Mammalia; Rodentia; Chinchillidae
Exons: 3
Source: RefSeq, a predicted model, not a curated record